UGGCUCUGGAGAAGCCCGCAAAACGGGUACCGAAGGUGCAAGGCGGCCUGGCCGCUGAAUCUCUCAGGUAAAAGGACAGAGUGGA
RNAcentral lists this non-coding RNA (85 nucleotides) under uncultured Dysosmobacter sp. RNAcentral's name for it is "Glycine riboswitch". It matches the Rfam family "Glycine riboswitch aptamer", at positions 9 to 86 of the family's 94-position model. From Rfam's summary of the family: This family represents the bacterial glycine riboswitch. Glycine riboswitches usually consist of two metabolite-binding aptamers domains with similar structures in tandem. The aptamers cooperatively bind glycine to regulate the expression of downstream genes. Lineage: Bacteria; Bacillati; Bacillota; Clostridia; Eubacteriales; Oscillospiraceae. The record is from RNAcentral.